UCACGAAUGAUUACAAAGUAUUUGAGCUGCACAUUCUCGACGAAGAAUGGAUGCUGCGAAACUCAGGCAAGAACUCCAGCAGAGAUCACUGAAAAAGGUCCGGUGGGGUCCGCACGCAACGACGUCGGUCAUAGUCAGUAGUUGGUGCCGGUCGUUCAUCAAAAUCGUUUCGCCUCUCUCGGAGCUCCCUCAAAGUCACCGUCGCGGCCUCGAUAACGCGGAAGAGUGAGCCAGUAUCUCGCAUACUCUUGCACGUGAUUAUACCUUCGUAAUUCAAGUGACAGUUGACAGCGUUCUGAUUUUUAAGUGCCUCUUUUUACUUUUUUUUGAACGAAAUAAACAAAAAUUAGCAUCGUCUAGAAAAAUUAAUGAAGACGCGACGAUCCAGCUCUCGGAGUUCGGCUUGGAAAACGCGAUUUUACUUUCGCUCUCGCGAAAGUCUCCUUGCAUCGUACGUGGUUUGCAUAUAAAUGCGGAAUGUUGCUUGGCGUGUAGUAAUUUGUGUGGUCACUUGUUAUUGUUCAUUUUCUGAUACGAGGUGUUACUCAAUCUGUCAUCAAUCGCCGUCGAUCGUUACAAAUUAAAGAAAAGCGUUUUAUAAUCGAAAAAUGCAGUACA
Nylanderia fulva is the source of this 618-nucleotide non-coding RNA. The record is from RefSeq and is a predicted model, not a curated record. Lineage: Eukaryota; Metazoa; Arthropoda; Insecta; Hymenoptera; Formicidae.